AGAUGUGCCCAGAUGGGAUUAGCUAGUAGGUGGGGUAACGGCUCACCUAGGCGACGAUCCCUAGCUGGUCUGAGAGGAUGACCAGCCACACUGGAACUGAGACACGGUCCAGACUCCUACGGGAGGCAGCAGUGGGGAAUAUUGCACAAUGGGCGCAAGCCUGAUGCAGCCAUGCCGCGUGUGUGAAGAAGGCCUUCGGGUUGUAAAGCACUUUCAGCGGGGAGGAAGGCGUUAAGGUUAAUAACCUUGGCGAUUGACGUUACCCGCAGAAGAAGCACCGGCUAACUCCGUGCCAGCAGCCGCGGUAAUACGGAGGGUGCAAGCGUUAAUCGGAAUUACUGGGCGUAAAGCGCACGCAGGCGGUCUGUCAAGUCGGAUGUGAAAUCCCCGGGCUCAACCUGGGAACUGCAUUCGAAACUGGCAGGCUAGAGUCUUGUAGAGGGGGGUAGAAUUCCAGGUGUAGCGGUGAAAUGCGUAGAGAUCUGGAGGAAUACCGGUGGCGAAGGCGGCCCCCUGGACAAAGACUGACGCUCAGGUGCGAAAGCGUGGGGAGCAAACAGGAUUAGAUACCCUGGUAGUCCACGCCGUAAACGAUGUCGAUUUGGAGGUUGUGCCCUUGAGGCGUGGCUUCCGGAGCUAACGCGUUAAAUCGACCGCCUGGGGAGUACGGCCGCAAGGUUAAAACUCAAAUGAAUUGACGGGGGCCCGCACAAGCGGUGGAGCAUGUGGUUUAAUUCGAUGCAACGCGAAGAACCUUACCUGGUCUUGACAUCCACAGAACUUUCCAGAGAUGGAUUGGUGCCUUCGGGAACUGUGAGACAGGUGCUGCAUGGCUGUCGUCAGCUCGUGUUGUGAAAUGUUGGGUUAAGUCCCGCAACGAGCGCAACCCUUAUCCUUUGUUGCCAGCGGUUAGGCCGGGAACUCAAAGGAGACUGCCAGUGAUAAACUGGAGGAAGGUGGGGAUGACGUCAAGUCAUCAUGGCCCUUACGACCAGGGCUACACACGUGCUACAAUGGCAUAUACAAAGAGAAGCGACCUCGCGAGAGCAAGCGGACCUCAUAAAGUAUGUCGUAGUCCGGAUUGGAGUCUGCAACUCGACUCCAUGAAGUCGGAAUCGCUAGUAAUCGUAGAUCAGAAUGCUACGGUGAAUACGUUCCCGGGCCUUGUACACACCGCCCGUCACACCAUGGGAGUGGGUUGCAAAAGAAGUAGGUAGCUUAACCUUCGGGAGGGCGCUUACCACUUUGUGAUUCAUGACUGGGGUGAAGUCGUAACAAGGUAACCGUAGGGGAACCUGCGGUUGGAUCACCU
Molecule: ribosomal RNA, 1312 nt
Filed under: Klebsiella pneumoniae
Lineage: Bacteria; Pseudomonadati; Pseudomonadota; Gammaproteobacteria; Enterobacterales; Enterobacteriaceae
Description: bacterial SSU rRNA
Rfam family: Bacterial small subunit ribosomal RNA
Source: RNAcentral